GGUGGGGUGACCGAGUAGCUAGGUUGCGGCUCGCAAGGCCGUAUACGCAGGUUCAAGUCCUGCCCCCACCU
Molecule: transfer RNA, 71 nt
Filed under: Enteractinococcus coprophilus
Lineage: Bacteria; Bacillati; Actinomycetota; Actinomycetes; Micrococcales; Micrococcaceae
Description: Yaniella sp. YIM 100590 tRNA
Rfam family: tRNA
About the family: Transfer RNA (tRNA) molecules are approximately 80 nucleotides in length. Their secondary structure includes four short double-helical elements and three loops (D, anti-codon, and T loops).
Source: Rfam by way of RNAcentral